RNAcentral lists this ribosomal RNA (300 nucleotides) under uncultured Sporosarcina sp. RNAcentral's name for it is "bacterial SSU rRNA". It matches the Rfam family "Bacterial small subunit ribosomal RNA", at positions 114 to 408 of the family's 1533-position model. The record is from RNAcentral. Lineage: Bacteria; Bacillati; Bacillota; Bacilli; Caryophanales; Caryophanaceae.
CACGUGGGCAACCUGCCCUGUAGUUGGGGAUAACUCCGGGAAACCGGGGCUAAUACCGAAUAAUCAGUUCCUUCGCAUGAAGGAACUCUGAAAGACGGCUAUGCUGUCACUACAGGAUGGGCCCGCGGCGCAUUAGCUAGUUGGUGAGGUAACGGCUUACCAAGGCGACGAUGCGUAGCCGACCUGAGAGGGUGAUCGGCCACACUGGGACUGAGACACGGCCCAGACUCCUACGGGAGGCAGCAGUAGGGAAUCUUCCACAAUGGACGAAAGUCUGAUGGAGCAACGCCGCGUGAGCGA